This 437-nucleotide ribosomal RNA is filed under the name uncultured Clostridium sp. RNAcentral describes it as "partial 16S ribosomal RNA". It matches the Rfam family "Bacterial small subunit ribosomal RNA", at positions 341 to 792 of the family's 1533-position model. Lineage: Bacteria; Bacillati; Bacillota; Clostridia; Eubacteriales; Clostridiaceae. The record is from RNAcentral.
ACGGAAGGCAGCAGUGGGGAAUAUUGGGCAAUGGGCGAAAGCCUGACCCAGCGACGCCGCGUGAGGGAAGAAGGUCUCCGGAUUGUAAACCUUAGUCAACAGGGAAGAAGCAAGUGACGGUACCUGUGGAGGAAGCCACGGCUAACUACGUGCCAGCAGCCGCGGUAAUACGUAGGGGGCAAGCGUUAUCCGGAUUUACUGGGUGUAAAGGGAGCGUAGACGGUUUUGCAAGUCUGAAGUGAAAUGCCGGGGCUCAACCCCGGAACUGCUUUGGAAACUGUAGAACUAGAGUGCAGGAGAGGUAAGUGGAAUUCCUAGUGUAGCGGUGAAAUGCGUAGAUAUUAGGAGGAACACCAGUGGCGAAGGCGGCUUACUGGACUGUAACUGACGUUGAGGCUCGAAAGCGUGGGGAGCAAACAGGAUUAGAUACCCUGGUA